This 2789-nucleotide ribosomal RNA is filed under the name Escherichia coli. Its description in RNAcentral is "bacterial LSU rRNA". It matches the Rfam family "Bacterial large subunit ribosomal RNA". Lineage: Bacteria; Pseudomonadati; Pseudomonadota; Gammaproteobacteria; Enterobacterales; Enterobacteriaceae. The record is from RNAcentral.
AGCGUACACGGUGGAUGCCCUGGCAGUCAGAGGCGAUGAAGGACGUGCUAAUCUGCGAUAAGCGUCGGUAAGGUGAUAUGAACCGUUAUAACCGGCGAUUUCCGAAUGGGGAAACCCAGUGUGAUUCGUCACACUAUCAUUAACUGAAUCCAUAGGUUAAUGAGGCGAACCGGGGGAACUGAAACAUCUAAGUACCCCGAGGAAAAGAAAUCAACCGAGAUUCCCCCAGUAGCGGCGAGCGAACGGGGAGCAGCCCAGAGCCUGAAUCAGUGUGUGUGUUAGUGGAAGCGUCUGGAAAGGCGCGCGAUACAGGGUGACAGCCCCGUACACAAAAAUGCACAUACUGUGAGCUCGAUGAGUAGGGCGGGACACGUGGUAUCCUGUCUGAAUAUGGGGGGACCAUCCUCCAAGGCUAAAUACUCCUGACUGACCGAUAGUGAACCAGUACCGUGAGGGAAAGGCGAAAAGAACCCCGGCGAGGGGAGUGAAAAAGAACCUGAAACCGUGUACGUACAAGCAGUGGGAGCACAGAGCAAUCUGUGUGACUGCGUACCUUUUGUAUAAUGGGUCAGCGACUUAUAUUCUGUAGCAAGGUUAACCGAAUAGGGGAGCCGAAGGGAAACCGAGUCUUAACUGGGCGUUAAGUUGCAGGGUAUAGACCCGAAACCCGGUGAUCUAGCCAUGGGCAGGUUGAAGGUUGGGUAACACUAACUGGAGGACCGAACCGACUAAUGUUGAAAAAUUAGCGGAUGACUUGUGGCUGGGGGUGAAAGGCCAAUCAAACCGGGAGAUAGCUGGUUCUCCCCGAAAGCUAUUUAGGUAGCGCCUCGUGAAUUCAUCUCCGGGGGUAGAGCACUGUUUCGGCAAGGGGGUCAUCCCGACUUACCAACCCGAUGCAAACUGCGAAUACCGGAGAAUGUUAUCACGGGAGACACACGGCGGGUGCUAACGUCCGUCGUGAAGAGGGAAACAACCCAGACCGCCAGCUAAGGUCCCAAAGUCAUGGUUAAGUGGGAAACGAUGUGGGAAGGCCCAGACAGCCAGGAUGUUGGCUUAGAAGCAGCCAUCAUUUAAAGAAAGCGUAAUAGCUCACUGGUCGAGUCGGCCUGCGCGGAAGAUGUAACGGGGCUAAACCAUGCACCGAAGCUGCGGCAGCGACGCUUAUGCGUUGUUGGGUAGGGGAGCGUUCUGUAAGCCUGUGAAGGUGUACUGUGAGGUAUGCUGGAGGUAUCAGAAGUGCGAAUGCUGACAUAAGUAACGAUAAAGCGGGUGAAAAGCCCGCUCGCCGGAAGACCAAGGGUUCCUGUCCAACGUUAAUCGGGGCAGGGUGAGUCGACCCCUAAGGCGAGGCCGAAAGGCGUAGUCGAUGGGAAACAGGUUAAUAUUCCUGUACUUGGUGUUACUGCGAAGGGGGGACGGAGAAGGCUAUGUUGGCCGGGCGACGGUUGUCCCGGUUUAAGCGUGUAGGCUGGUUUUCCAGGCAAAUCCGGAAAAUCAAGGCUGAGGCGUGAUGACGAGGCACUACGGUGCUGAAGCAACAAAUGCCCUGCUUCCAGGAAAAGCCUCUAAGCAUCAGGUAACAUCAAAUCGUACCCCAAACCGACACAGGUGGUCAGGUAGAGAAUACCAAGGCGCUUGAGAGAACUCGGGUGAAGGAACUAGGCAAAAUGGUGCCGUAACUUCGGGAGAAGGCACGCUGAUAUGUAGGUGAAGCGACUUGCUCGUGGAGCUGAAAUCAGUCGAAGAUACCAGCUGGCUGCAACUGUUUAUUAAAAACACAGCACUGUGCAAACACGAAAGUGGACGUAUACGGUGUGACGCCUGCCCGGUGCCGGAAGGUUAAUUGAUGGGGUCAGCGCAAGCGAAGCUCUUGAUCGAAGCCCCGGUAAACGGCGGCCGUAACUAUAACGGUCCUAAGGUAGCGAAAUUCCUUGUCGGGUAAGUUCCGACCUGCACGAAUGGCGUAAUGAUGGCCAGGCUGUCUCCACCCGAGACUCAGUGAAAUUGAACUCGCUGUGAAGAUGCAGUGUACCCGCGGCAAGACGGAAAGACCCCGUGAACCUUUACUAUAGCUUGACACUGAACAUUGAGCCUUGAUGUGUAGGAUAGGUGGGAGGCUUUGAAGUGUGGACGCCAGUCUGCAUGGAGCCGACCUUGAAAUACCACCCUUUAAUGUUUGAUGUUCUAACGUGGACCCGUAAUCCGGGUUGCGGACAGUGUCUGGUGGGUAGUUUGACUGGGGCGGUCUCCUCCUAAAGAGUAACGGAGGAGCACGAAGGUUGGCUAAUCCUGGUCGGACAUCAGGAGGUUAGUGCAAUGGCAUAAGCCAGCUUGACUGCGAGCGUGACGGCGCGAGCAGGUGCGAAAGCAGGUCAUAGUGAUCCGGUGGUUCUGAAUGGAAGGGCCAUCGCUCAACGGAUAAAAGGUACUCCGGGGAUAACAGGCUGAUACCGCCCAAGAGUUCAUAUCGACGGCGGUGUUUGGCACCUCGAUGUCGGCUCAUCACAUCCUGGGGCUGAAGUAGGUCCCAAGGGUAUGGCUGUUCGCCAUUUAAAGUGGUACGCGAGCUGGGUUUAGAACGUCGUGAGACAGUUCGGUCCCUAUCUGCCGUGGGCGCUGGAGAACUGAGGGGGGCUGCUCCUAGUACGAGAGGACCGGAGUGGACGCAUCACUGGUGUUCGGGUUGUCAUGCCAAUGGCACUGCCCGGUAGCUAAAUGCGGAAGAGAUAAGUGCUGAAAGCAUCUAAGCACGAAACUUGCCCCGAGAUGAGUUCUCCCUGACUCCUUGA